Molecule: ribosomal RNA, 824 nt
Filed under: Hemiselmis andersenii
Lineage: Eukaryota; Cryptophyceae; Cryptomonadales; Hemiselmidaceae
Description: partial Bacterial large subunit ribosomal RNA
Rfam family: Bacterial large subunit ribosomal RNA
Source: RNAcentral
UUAACGUCAAGAAAUAAUCUUUUAUUUAUAUAAUUCGUACUUAGCCAACAAAGGAGAAUUUGUUUUAUAGAACAAAGGUAAUUGAGUUAAUCAUUCUUAAGGAACUAGGCAAAUUAAUUCUGUAACUUCGGGAAAAAGAAUACCUUAUACAAGGUGUCACAAAAUAACGAAUAGCGACUAUUUAACAAAAAUACAGGGUUUUGCAAAAUUGUAAAAUAUAGUAUAAGACCUGAAGCCUGCCCAGUGCUAGCAUAUUAAAUGUAAAAGUAAAUGCUGUUAAAUGAAAUACUAGUAAACGGAGGUCGUAACUCUAACGAUCAUAAAGUAGCAAAAUUCCUAGGCAAGUAAUUUUUGUCCUGCAUGAAUGGCUUAACGACUUUUCGACUGUCUCAAGAGUGAGCUCAGUGAAAUUAGAAUUUGUGUGAAGAUACACAAAAAUUAAAGUAAGACGAAAAGACCCUAUAGACCUUUACUAUAUUUUUACGUUGUUAUAAAAUUUUUCUUGUGUAGUUUAAGUGGGAGCAAUCACUUGCGUAACUGAAAGACCACUCGUGUUAAAAUUUUGAACUAAUUUAAAUUAAAAAAGCGUAAAAUUGGUAGUUUCGUUGGGGCGAUAAUCUUCGAAAAAGUAACGAAGAUCUACAAAAGUAAAUUCGAAUUCUGUAGAAAUGAAUUUUUGAGUGUAAUGGCUAAAAUUUGCUUGACUGUGAGAUUUAUAAAUCAAACAGAGAUAAUAUUUGUCGGUCAUAGUGAGCCAAUUAUUUUGAAUGGAAAAAUAAUUGCAUAAGAAAUAAUAGGUACCUUAGGGACAACAGGCUUAUAGC